RNAcentral lists this unclassified non-coding RNA (2572 nucleotides) under Rhopalosiphum maidis (corn leaf aphid). Its description in RNAcentral is "rNA-binding protein lark, transcript variant X3". The record is from RNAcentral. Lineage: Eukaryota; Metazoa; Arthropoda; Insecta; Hemiptera; Aphididae.
UUUGCUCCAUGCACCAACAACACCGACACUCACACAGUUACACACAUUUACACAAAAGUAUACAAUUGUACGGUCCACACACAAACUUAGUAUACACACACACAUCAGCUCAGCUAUUUCGUACACUCAACACUGACGUUUUAUCCGAGAAUUGGUUCUCUCCGACUCCCACCUCCAUCGCCGCCGCCUUCACUCGUAGUCUUAUGUUCAAUUCGUACGUAACAUAAACCCGUCUUGGCCGCCGUGUGCGCAACGCUACAACUUCGCUACAGCCACCGAUCGACUGCUGCCACCGCUGCUGUUGCUGUUGCUGCUGCCGUUGCUGUUGCUGCUGCUGCAUUCUGUCGUGCUUCGUCCGUGUGUGGUGAGUGUAUGACGUGGUUGUCUUGAACGCACACGACAAUAUUGUAAAUAACAACGAAAGCAACAACACUUGAUCCACAUCACAGUGUAGACGAGAAAUGCGAGAUUUUGACCACAAACGGGGCAGACAAUUGGUUGACUGUACCACUGAAGAGGACACCGUUGCCGAGGAGACAGCCGCAAAAGAAAAAAUGCCGUCUGAUACUGAAAGUAACACAAGUUUUAAUAACAGCAGCGUGAGGACUUUUAAAAUUUUCAUUGGAAAUCUUUCUGAAAAGACUACAUCUAGUGAUAUCAGACCACUGUUUGAGAAGUAUGGCAAAGUUGUUGAAUGUGAUGUAAUGAAAAAUUUUGGCUUUGUUCAUAUGGAUGAUGAUAACACUGGACGUGCAGCCAUAAAAGCUUUGAACGGUACAAUGGUUAAUGAUUUAGCCAUGAAAGUAGAAGCUGCCACUAGUCGCCGUGGUCCCAAUACCCCAACUACAAAAAUCUUUGUGGGAAAUCUUUCUGAAACAACUAAAGCCAAUGAAGUACGAGAAUUAUUUGGUAGAUACGGAACUGUUGUUGAAUGUGACAUUGUCAGAACUUAUGGUUUUGUGCAUAUUGAUUCAACUGAUGUAAGCAGACUUAUUAAAGAUUUAAAUGGCCAUAUGUUAGAUGGUCAACCAAUCAAGGUUCAAAUCUCAAAUAGUCGUGUUCGUCAAAGACCUGGAAUGGGUAUGCCAGAGCAGUGUUAUAGGUGCGGCAAGGGUGGCCAUUGGUCUCGGGAGUGCAGUCGUGAAGGGUAUGGAUAUGGAAGAGAUGCUUUACCACCACUCCCACCACCACGUGCCCUACUUUAUCCACCACCGCCUCCACCUUCAUUUGUUCGUGAUCGUAUCCUUGGUUCUUAUGGUACUGGCUUGAAAACUGACAUGACAAGAAUGGAUGAUUACUCAAUGUUGUCACAUUCUGAACUUGGUGGUCAUAUGUAUGAAACUGAAGGCUUGUAUGAUCGUUACUAUGAUCGUAGUCUUAUGAGAACAGCCGCUGAUGGCUAUGGCAUGGAUAGAAGAAUGCCAAGAAUGCCAUCUAGUCGCGAUUAUUUAUCAUCAUCCACACGUAUUGGAACAACUAUGCGUGACCAAGAUUAUGUAUUCACACGCCGCUCACCAUUGUCCAGCAGUCGUACAUCUUCAUCUCAUGCAUAUGAUGAUUUCUCUAGGGAUUCAUAUGAUGAUCGUCGAGUUUCGGGAUCUCGCGGUUCGUCGCGUUACACGCCGUAUUAAAAAAAACCGUGUAUAUAUUAUCGUGCCGCCGCCGUAUAUUCGCGUCGCCGGAUCGGAUAACCGUACACUCACACAUCGCCGACCGUCAACAAUUUUUUAUUUAAAUCGGCUCAAGUUUUUAAGGAGCCAAAAUUACAUUUACGAAAUCUUAUAAGAUUAUUUGUCUACGUAGGUUUUUUUUUUUUAGGUUUAAUUAAAAACAUAUAAUUUCUUAGUGUCACAAAUUACAAUUUUAUUUUAUUUAUAGGCAUUAGACAUAAAAGGUUAAAUUAUCUGGGCUCUUAGAUUAUUUAUAUUGAUUCAUAUUUUCUACCUUAGAUGUAAACAAAAUAAUUUUCUAGAAUUAUUUUAAGGUAAUAUUGACUAUGUUUUUUUUUGAAUAUCACUAUAAUCACAUCAAUCAUAUAUUAAUAAUUAUUUCUGGAAUUUCUGUUUGUCGAGUUAUUAAACAAAUUUUCUUUAGAAAAUUAGAAUGUAAGCCUUUAUAGUCAAAGGUUUUUACAGUUAGGUUAAUGUAUUAAUUAAAUUACUAAAAUAUAUUAAUAUUGUAAGCCCAAAUAAUCUUAUGACAACAUUACAUUGUAAUUCUCAUUGUAAAAAAUUUAAUAAAAUAAAAUAAAAAUAAGUAUGAUAAAUACCAUCUAAUUUUGUAGUCCCUAUAUUCUCUUAUAUAUUAGUUAAGUGUUUUUUAGUUUGACCGUUACAGCCGACCGAUCUCGUAGUUUGCCGAAAACGUGAUAUUUCCGUACACUGUUCGGUGCGUACGAUGUUCCGAGGACUAUUUGAACGAAGCCGGUGCGUUUGCGAUUCGUGUAAAAUACUCAUUCUUAGAAUAUUAUUAACAUGUGGCUGAAUGUGGUCAAUGUGGAUAACACUGACCAGUGACCAUACUACAAAAUCAUGCAUUUUUAAUAUGAAUCAUUGUGAAUGUCAUCUUCUGA